AGUGAAGCGGUAAAAGCUCAAAUUUGAAAUCUGGUACUUUCAGUGCCCGAGUUGUAAUUUGUAGAAUUUGUCUUUGAUUAGGUCCUUGUCUAUGUUCCUUGGAACAGGACGUCAUAGAGGGUGAGAAUCCCGUUUGGCGAGGAUACCUUUUCUCUGUAAGACUUUUUCGAAGAGUCGAGUUGUUUGGGAAUGCAGCUCAAAGUGGGUGGUAAAUUCCAUCUAAAGCUAAAUAUUGGCGAGAGACCGAUAGCGAACAAGUACAGUGAUGGAAAGAUGAAAAGAACUUUGAAAAGAGAGUGAAAAAGUACGUGAAAUUGUUGAAAGGGAAGGGCAUUUGAUCAGACAUGGUGUUUUUUGCAUGCACUCGCCUCUCGUGGGCUUGGGCCUCUCAAAAAUUUCACUGGGCCAACAUCAGUUCUGGCAGCAGGAUAAAUCAUUAAGAAUGUAGCUACCUCGGUAGUGUUAUAGCUUAUUGGAAUACUGCUAGCUGGGAUUGAGGACUGCGCUUCGGCAAGGAUGUUGGCAUAAUGGUUAAAUGCCGC
This 542-nucleotide ribosomal RNA is filed under the name Hanseniaspora guilliermondii. RNAcentral describes it as "partial large subunit ribosomal RNA". It matches the Rfam family "Eukaryotic large subunit ribosomal RNA", at positions 92 to 648 of the family's 3401-position model. The record is from RNAcentral. Lineage: Eukaryota; Fungi; Ascomycota; Saccharomycetes; Saccharomycodales; Saccharomycodaceae.